This 371-nucleotide ribosomal RNA is filed under the name uncultured bacterium. RNAcentral describes it as "bacterial SSU rRNA". It matches the Rfam family "Bacterial small subunit ribosomal RNA", at positions 527 to 896 of the family's 1533-position model. The record is from RNAcentral.
AGAGGGGGCAAGCGUUGUUCGGAAUUACUGGGCGUAAAGGGCGCGUAGGCGGCCUUCUAAGUCGAACGUGAAAUCCCCGGGCUCAACCCGGGAACUGCGUCCGAUACUGGAAGGCUUGAAUCCGGGAGAGGGAUGCGGAAUUCCAGGUGUAGCGGUGAGAUGCGUAGAUAUCUGGAGGAACACCGGUGGCGAAGGCGGCAUCCUGGACCGGUAUUGACGCUGAGGCGCGAAAGCCAGGGGAGCAAACGGGAUUAGAUACCCCGGUAGUCCUGGCCCUAAACGAUGAAUGCUUGGUGUGGCGGGUAUCGAUCCCUGCCGUGCCGAAGCUAACGCAUUAAGCAUUCCGCCUGGGGAGUACGGUCGCAUGGCUG